ACAUGCUUCUUUAUAUCCCCAUAGGGAUAACAGUGCUAUGGAAUGUAAGGAAGUGUGUGG
This 60-nucleotide microRNA precursor is filed under the name Alligator mississippiensis (American alligator). Its description in RNAcentral is "Ami-Mir-1-P2_pre stem-loop". It matches the Rfam family "mir-1 microRNA precursor family", at positions 10 to 70 of the family's 79-position model. From Rfam's summary of the family: This family represents the microRNA (miRNA) mir-1 family. miRNAs are transcribed as ~70nt precursors (modelled here) and subsequently processed by the Dicer enzyme to give a ~22nt product. In this case the mature sequence comes from the 3' arm of the precursor. Lineage: Eukaryota; Metazoa; Chordata; Crocodylia; Alligatoridae. The record is from RNAcentral.